RNAcentral lists this ribosomal RNA (446 nucleotides) under uncultured bacterium. RNAcentral describes it as "partial 16S ribosomal RNA". It matches the Rfam family "Bacterial small subunit ribosomal RNA", at positions 338 to 795 of the family's 1533-position model. The record is from RNAcentral.
CCUACGGGUGGCAGCAGUCGAGAAUCAUUCACAAUGGGGGAAACCCUGAUGGUGCGACGCCGCGUGGGGGAAUGAAGGUCUUCGGAUUGUAAACUCCUGUCACGUGGGAGCAAAUUAAAAAGAUAGUACCACAAGAGGAAGCGACGCCUAACUCUGUGCCAGCAGCCGCGGUAAGACAGAGGUCUCAAGCGUUGUUCGGAAUCACUGGGCGUAACGCGUGCGUAGGCUGUUUCGUAAGUCGUGUGUGAAAGGCGCGGGCUCAACCCGCGGACGGCACAUGAUACUGCGAGACUAGAGUAAAGGAGAGGGAACCGGAAUUCUCGGUGUAGCAGUGAAAUGCGUAGAUAUCGAGAGGAACACUCGUGGCGAAGGCGGGUUCCUGGACAUUAACUGACGCUGAGGCACGAAGGCCAGGGGAGCGAAAGGGAUUAGAUACCCUUGUAGUC